GGACAUUUAGCUCAGCUGGGAGAGCAAUCGGCUCAUAACCGAUAGGUCCUGGAUUCGAACCCCAGAAUGUCCA
This 73-nucleotide transfer RNA is filed under the name Caudoviricetes sp. RNAcentral describes it as "tRNA-Met". It matches the Rfam family "tRNA". From Rfam's summary of the family: Transfer RNA (tRNA) molecules are approximately 80 nucleotides in length. The record is from RNAcentral. Lineage: Duplodnaviria; Heunggongvirae; Uroviricota; Caudoviricetes.